Molecule: ribosomal RNA, 561 nt
Filed under: Sammeyersia grandispora
Lineage: Eukaryota; Fungi; Ascomycota; Sordariomycetes; Lulworthiales; Lulworthiaceae
Description: eukaryotic LSU rRNA
Rfam family: Eukaryotic large subunit ribosomal RNA
Source: RNAcentral
CAGGGAUUGCCCCAGUAACGGCGAGUGAAGCGGCAGCAGCCCAGAUUUGAAAUCCGGCUUCGGCCCGAGUUGUAAUCUGCAGAGGAUGCUUCGGGGCGGGCGUCCCUCCGAGUCCCCUGGAACGGGGCGCCAGAGAGGGUGACAGCCCCGUACGGCCGGACGUGCCGCCCGCGCGAAGCUCCCUCGAAGAGUCGAGUAGUUUGGGAAUGCUGCUCAAAGCGGGAGGUAAAUUCCUUCCAAGGCUAAAUACCGGCCGGAGACCGAUAGCGCACAAGUAGAGUGAUCGAAAGAUGAAAAGCACUUUGGAAAGAGGGUUAAACAGUACGUGAAAUUGCUGAGAGGGAAGCGCCUGCGGCCAGACUCGCGCCCUGCGGAUCAUCGGGUGCCUCGCGCCCGUGCACUCCGCCGGGAACCGGGCCAGCAUCGGCUCGGGCGGGGGACAAAAGCGGGGGGAACGUGGCCUCCCCCGGGAGGUGUUAUAGCCCCCCGCCCAAUGCCCCGCGGCGGGCCGAGGACCGCGCCGCUCCGGCGGCAAGGAUGCUGGCGUAAUGGCCGUCGGCG